GUUGAAGCCAGUCGUACUGGCGGGCAAUCAGCCUUUUGGGUGUGAUUAUGUGGAGCGUGAGGAGUUAAUCACUUUCAUCUUUGCAUAUUCGUGCACUUUGGGUGUACUUGCUCGUGUAGUAGGUUAACAUCAAUUUUAAUUAUCAUAAAAUGGCUGGAGGAAUGUAGCUUCGAUCUCGUAUUGAAGUGUUAUAGUCUUCGGUAGAUGUGAUGAUUGGGAUUGAGGAUUGCAACGGAUACUCUUCGGGGCUACCUGUCUGAUCUCUGAAAGUUGCUCUGGUGCUGAAAGCUUGCUUAUGGUGUCAAAGUUGACGUUCAAUAGGUUAGAAUGGGUUAAAUUCGUUAAUGACGUAA
This 353-nucleotide ribosomal RNA is filed under the name uncultured Glomeromycotina. Its description in RNAcentral is "LSU rRNA". The record is from RNAcentral. Lineage: Eukaryota; Fungi; Glomeromycota.